UACUAGCUGUGUCAUUUGGGACAAGUUAAACUCUCUGGGAUUCAGUUUCUGAAGUUUUAAAGUAAAGUUCAACACUCUCUUUGCUGGACCAACCACCUCAUCAAUAACAACGAUUUAGAAGGUGAAGGCAAAUGGUAUGGAGAAAGAGCACCAGAUAUGGAAUCAGAGCCCUCAUCAUUUGUAUGACCAUCGACUCCAUUUGGCAUUUUCUUGGCAAAGAUACUGGAUGGUAUCUUUCUUCUUCUCCAGUUAAUUUUUACACUUGAG
RNAcentral lists this long non-coding RNA (267 nucleotides) under Sarcophilus harrisii (Tasmanian devil). RNAcentral's name for it is "lncRNA (ENSSHAG00000020792.1)". Lineage: Eukaryota; Metazoa; Chordata; Mammalia; Dasyuromorphia; Dasyuridae. The record is from RNAcentral.